RNAcentral lists this transfer RNA (73 nucleotides) under Planctomycetota bacterium. RNAcentral's name for it is "Planctomycetes bacterium tRNA-Ile". It matches the Rfam family "tRNA". Rfam says of the family: Transfer RNA (tRNA) molecules are approximately 80 nucleotides in length. Their secondary structure includes four short double-helical elements and three loops (D, anti-codon, and T loops). The record is from RNAcentral. Lineage: Bacteria; Pseudomonadati; Planctomycetota.
GCUCCCGUAGCUCAGUGGUGAGAGCGGCGGCCUUAUAAGCCGCGCGUCGCGGGUUCAAUCCCCGCCGGGAGCA